This 62-nucleotide microRNA precursor is filed under the name Eptatretus burgeri (inshore hagfish). Its description in RNAcentral is "Ebu-Mir-96-P1e_pre stem-loop". Lineage: Eukaryota; Metazoa; Chordata; Myxini; Myxiniformes; Myxinidae. The record is from RNAcentral.
UUUGGCACUAGUACAUACUUGCUCGGUCCUUGUAUUUCAGCAACUAUGUUUGGUGCCAGAGC